GACGAACGCUGGCGGCGUGCCUAAUACAUGCAAGUUGAGCGCUGAAGGUUGGUACUUGUACCAACUGGAUGAGCAGCGAACGGGUGAGUAACGCGUGGGGAAUCUGCCUUUGAGCGGGGGACAACAUUUGGAAACGAAUGCUAAUACCGCAUAAAAACUUUAAACACAAGUUUUAAGUUUGAAAGAUGCAAUUGCAUCACUCAAAGAUGAUCCCGCGUUGUAUUAGCUAGUUGGUGAGGUAAAGGCUCACCAAGGCGAUGAUACAUAGCCGACCUGAGAGGGUGAUCGGCAACAUUGGGACUGAGACACGGCCCAAACUCCUACGGGAGGCAGCAGUAGGGAAUCUUCGGCAAUGGACGAAAGUCUGACCGAGCAACGCCGCGUGAGUGAAGAAGGUUUUCGGAUCGUAAAACUCUGUUGGUAGAGAAGAACGUUGGUGAGAGUGGAAAGCUCAUCAAGUGACGGUAACUACCCAGAAAGGGACGGCUAACUACGU
This 496-nucleotide ribosomal RNA is filed under the name uncultured bacterium. RNAcentral describes it as "partial 16S ribosomal RNA". It matches the Rfam family "Bacterial small subunit ribosomal RNA", at positions 28 to 506 of the family's 1533-position model. The record is from RNAcentral.